CCGCCUGGGGAGUACGGUCGCAAGAUUAAAACUCAAAGGAAUUGACGGGGACCCGCACAAGCGGUGGAUGAUGUGGAUUAAUUCGAUGCAACGCGAAAAACCUUACCUACCCUUGACAUGCCACUAACGAAGCAGAGAUGCAUUAGGUGCUCGAAAGAGAAAGUGGACACAGGUGCUGCAUGGCUGUCGUCAGCUCGUGUCGUGAGAUGUUGGGUUAAGUCCCGCAACGAGCGCAACCCUUGUCUCUAGUUGCUACGAAAGGGCACUCUAGAGAGACUGCCGGUGACAAACCGGAGGAAGGUGGGGAUGACGUCAAGUCCUCAUGGCCCUUAUGGGUAGGGCUUCACACGUCAUACAAUGGUGCAUACAGAGGGUUGCCAAGCCGCGAGGUGGAGCUAAUCCCAGAAAAUGCAUCGUAGUCCGGAUCGUAGUCUGCAACUCGACUACGUGAAGCUGGAAUCGCUAGUAAUCGCGGAUCAGCAUGCCGCGGUGAAUACGUUCNCCGGGUCUUGUACACAC
RNAcentral lists this ribosomal RNA (519 nucleotides) under Ralstonia sp. RNAcentral's name for it is "bacterial SSU rRNA". It matches the Rfam family "Bacterial small subunit ribosomal RNA", at positions 869 to 1390 of the family's 1533-position model. The record is from RNAcentral. Lineage: Bacteria; Pseudomonadati; Pseudomonadota; Betaproteobacteria; Burkholderiales; Burkholderiaceae.